RNAcentral lists this long non-coding RNA (251 nucleotides) under Setaria italica (foxtail millet). RNAcentral's name for it is "long non-coding RNA (SITA_LNC007391)". The record is from RNAcentral. Lineage: Eukaryota; Viridiplantae; Streptophyta; Magnoliopsida; Poales; Poaceae.
CUCGCCGCUCUGCCACACCUGCUUCAGCACCUGCGGCGGCGGGCGCCCACGCCGCGGGGUGCCGAGCUCCUGGUGGCGGGUCGUGAACACCGCGGCGGAUUCCGGCCGCGAGGGGGCAGUGCUGGAGGAGGAGCCGGAGAGGGCCGGGUUGGCGGCGUCGGAGGAGGAGGUGAGGGAGCGGUUGAGGUGAGCGAAGACGAAGCGGCGGGAGGGGCGCGGGUAGGGCGGGAUGACCUUGCAGAUGCCGUAGG